GAUGAACGCUGGCGGCGUGCCUAAUACACGCAAGUCGAGCGAACGGACGAGAAGCUUGCUUCUCUGAUGUUAGCGGCGGACGGGUGAGUAACACGGGGAUAACCUACCUAUAAGACUGGGAUAACUUCGGGAAACCGGAGCUAAUACCGGAUAAUAUUUUGAACCGCAUGGUUCAAAAGUGAAAGACGGUCUUGCUGUCACUUAUAGAUGGAUCCGCGCUGCAUUAGCUAGUUGGUAAGGUAACGGCUUACCAAGGCAACGAUGCAUAGCCGACCUGAGAGGGUGAUCGGCCACACUGGAACUGAGACACGGUCCAGACUCCUACGGGAGGCAGCAGUAGGGAAUCUUCCGCAAUGGGCGAAAGCCUGACGGAGCAACGCCGCGUGAGUGAUGAAGGUCUUCGGAUCGUAAAACUCUGUUAUUAGGGAAGAACAUAUGUGUAAGUAACUGUGCACAUCUUGACGGUACCUAAUCAGAAAGCCACGGCUAACUACGUGCCAGCAGCCGCGGUAAUACGUAGGUGGCAAGCGUUAUCCGGAAUUAUUGGGCGUAAAGCGCGCGUAGGCGGUUUUUUAAGUCUGAUGUGAAAGCCCACGGCUCAACCGUGGAGGGUCAUUGGAAACUGGAAAACUUGAGUGCAGAAGAGGAAAGUGGAAUUCCAUGUGUAGCGGUGAAAUGCGCAGAGAUAUGGAGGAACACCAGUGGCGAAGGCGACUUUCUGGUCUGUAACUGACGCUGAUGUGCGAAAGCGUGGGGAUCAAACAGGAUUAGAUACCCUGGUAGUCCACGCCGUAAACGAUGAGUGCUAAGUGUUAGGGGGUUUCCGCCCCUUAGUGCUGCAGCUAACGCAUUAAGCACUCCGCCUGGGGAGUACGACCGCAAGGUUGAAACUCAAAGGAAUUGACGGGGACCCGCACAAGCGGUGGAGCAUGUGGUUUAAUUCGAAGCAACGCGAAGAACCUUACCAAAUCUUGACAUCCUUUGACAACUCUAGAGAUAGAGCUUUCCCCUUCGGGGGACAAAGUGACAGGUGGUGCAUGGUUGUCGUCAGCUCGUGUCGUGAGAUGUUGGGUUAAGUCCCGCAACGAGCGCAACCCUUAAGCUUAGUUGCCAUCAUUAAGUUGGGCACUCUAAGUUGACUGCCGGUGACAAACCGGAGGAAGGUGGGGAUGACGUCAAAUCAUCAUGCCCCUUAUGAUUUGGGCUACACACGUGCUACAAUGGACAAUACAAAGGGCAGCGAAACCGCGAGGUCAAGCAAAUCCCAUAAAGUUGUUCUCAGUUCGGAUUGUAGUCUGCAACUCGACUACAUGAAGCUGGAAUCGCUAGUAAUCGUAGAUCAGCAUGCUACGGUGAAUACGUUCCCGGGUCU
This 1372-nucleotide ribosomal RNA is filed under the name uncultured bacterium. Its description in RNAcentral is "bacterial SSU rRNA". It matches the Rfam family "Bacterial small subunit ribosomal RNA", at positions 28 to 1381 of the family's 1533-position model. The record is from RNAcentral.